UCAGCCGUUUUUUACAUGCUAGAGACCCCAUCAGCUUUCUUCUUCUUCUUCGUGGAAAAACCUAGACAAAAACCCUAAGCUAUCUUCUUCUUCAUCAAACAAAUAUCAGCAACUUCCAUCCCCAUCGUCACUCCAUGGAAGACAAGAAAAAAGCUCUCAUCUCCUACACCUAGGCAGCAGCGACCCUUUCUCCAAAAGACACUAUUCGAGCCGCUGAUGCUUCUUCACCUUGCCCAAAAGAACCAGCAGUCAAUUCCAUCAUUCUUCUUUAGAACACUCCUAAUUCCCAUGCCCUAGAUGUCAUCCCACCAAAACAACUCACCGGAAAAGAACGGUCUCAUCCCCUGAACCUCCAAGUCAGCCAUUCUAAGACUCCUUCCUCUCCAAUCCCUCUCCAGCGUCACCAGUGUUCCACACCACCCCAUCUCCGCCGCAACAUAAAACAGAGGAGAGAAAGGAGCACGAACAGAUUUACACAAAAAUAGUUUUCUUUCUUUUGGAAUUUCGUUUGAACAAUGGAGUUCAUUUAAAGCUCCUGGAGAAUUCGUUUGAAGUUGUCGACUGAGGUUCAAGUUCGUUGUUCCAUUUAGUGUAGGUUCAUUAUGGUGUUUUGGAUGGGCUCGCUGCCAAGAUUUGCAUUCCGGAUUCAUUUGUAUCUUUUCUAAUUGCUUUAAACAUCAACUGAAAGCUUGAUUUUUAGGUUCGUAAUCUGUUUUCCUCGCCUUAUUUAAUUUUGUUAGAUUUUUUUUAUCGGUAUUUUCUUUUGCUUUCAUGCCUAAUGUUUGUGGUUUCAAAUCUGUUUUGUUUGGAGAUAUUUAGAUUGUGAUCUGAUAUGAUUUUGUGUUCGUUGAGUUAGUAUUCGAUUCUGUCGAGUCUUACAUGAAUAUGUCAUAUGUUUGAUUGGUUUUCUUGCUUGAAUUCCAACUGAUUCGAGUUUGAAAUUGUCCUAACUCACUUGUCGAUGUAGAUAUUAGUGAUAAAAUGACUUACUUUUUGUGUUGAUGGAAACAUUAGUGUUGGAAAAACAACCUUUCUGCAAAGAAUAGCUAAUGAGACAUUUGAAUUGCAAGAUCUUGUUGAAAUAGUUCUCGAGCCUAUUGAGAAGUGGCAGGAUAUUGGGCCAGAUCAUUUUAACACAUUAGAUGCAUUCUAUGCUGAGCCCAAAGAUUUGCUUACACAUUUUAGAAUUGUGUUUUCGUUAUGAGAGUUAUGCAAGGGUUUGAUAAGUUAAUUUUUUUCUAUUAAAAGAAAAGGUAAAGGAAGAUGAUAAGAAAGGUUUCUGUUGAAAAUUUCUAUUUUUUUAGUUGGUCUCACUUAGCAGGAUUAAUACGGUGGAGAUUAACUCCUAGUAGGAUUUACAUUUGAGAACAUUUUGAGGUUAGUUUAUUCCUUUCAGAGUAGUAUGUAUAUUUGGAAGAAUUCUGUUCAUUCUUUGCAUUACAUUUUCAUUCGAGAUCUAAAAUUGUUUAAAUUACAUUAAAUGAGUUCUUGUAAGUUUCAUGAAGUAGCAAUAGCUUUGUUUAAUUCUAAUGCUCUCAAAAUAAAUCAAGGUACGCGUUCGUGCAACUUUGGCCAAAUAUUCUUAAAAUUAAUAAAGCGUUAUUAAUUGUGGACACAUACACGUGACAUGAUUUUUGACGCGCCUAACCAAUGGGUACACCUACACAUGACUCGUUUUAGGAUAAUCUUUUAAUUAAAAGAGGCAAAUGUACAUAGGUUCUAAAGUGAGUAAUUAGACAAUUUGAUUACGCCAAGUAUGAUCAAAGCAACCGUGCUAGAACCACAGAACUUGGGAAUGCCUAACACCUUCUCCCGGGUUACAGAAUUCCUUACCCGGAUUUCUGUGUUCGCAGACCGCAAAUAAAAGUCAACUUCCUCGAUUCAAGAUUUUAAACCGGUGACUUGAGACAUCAUAAAUUAUCCCAAGUGGGGACUCUGAAUUCUAAAUAAAAUAAUCUUGUUUCGAUUGUCACUUAAAUUAGAAAAAACUCCCUUAUAUCCCUUUUGUUGGUAGUAAAAAGGAGGUGUGACAGCUUUAGCGACUCUGCUGGGGAUAAGAACCCAGAAUCUCGGGUUCAGGGUUCAAGAAUUUGAGCUUGUUUUUAUGAUUUUUACUUGGCUUUAUAUAUAGUUCAUAUUAUCGUAAUUGUGGACCUAAUGUGCUAAAUGCUUUUUAUUUACUGUUUUUAUAUUAGUUGAACUGUAUUUAAAUGCCUUCUUCUGCCUCCCUUAUGUGUUUUUAAAAUAAUGUUGCACAUGUUCGUGUGACCCACUUUUUAUGCUAGAAGUUAUACCAAAUAGAACGAGG
Molecule: long non-coding RNA, 2308 nt
Filed under: Nicotiana tabacum (common tobacco)
Lineage: Eukaryota; Viridiplantae; Streptophyta; Magnoliopsida; Solanales; Solanaceae
Description: long non-coding RNA (NTAB_LNC010559)
Source: RNAcentral